Molecule: ribosomal RNA, 497 nt
Filed under: uncultured bacterium
Lineage: Bacteria
Description: partial 16S ribosomal RNA
Rfam family: Bacterial small subunit ribosomal RNA
Source: RNAcentral
GAUGAACGCUGGCGGCGUGCCUAAUACAUGCAAGUCGAGCGAACAGAUGAGGAGCUUGCUCCUCUGACGUUAGCGGCGGACGGGUGAGUAACACGUGGAUAACAUACCUAUAAGACUGGGAUAACUUCGGGAAACCGGAGCUACUACCGGAUAAUAUAUUGAACCGCAUGGUUCAAUAGUGAAAGACGGCUUUGCUGUCACUUUUAGAUGGAUCCGCGCCGCAUUAGCUAGUUGGUAAGGUAACGGCUUACCAAGGCAACGAUGCGUAGCCGACCUGAGAGGGUGAUCGGCCACACUGGAACUGAGACACGGUCCAGACUCCUACGGGAGGCAGCAGUAGGGAAUCUUCCGCAAUGGGCGAAAGCCUGACGGAGCAACGCCGCGUGAGUGAUGAAGGUCUUCGGAUCGUAAAACUCUGUUAUUAGGGAAGAACAAAUGUGUAAGUAACUAUGCACGUCUUGACGGUACCUAAACAGAAAGCCACGGCUAACUACGUG